This 488-nucleotide ribosomal RNA is filed under the name uncultured bacterium. RNAcentral's name for it is "bacterial SSU rRNA". It matches the Rfam family "Bacterial small subunit ribosomal RNA", at positions 501 to 987 of the family's 1533-position model. The record is from RNAcentral.
CUACGUGCCAGCAGCCGCGGUAAUACGUAGGUCCCGAGCGUUGUCCGGAUUUAUUGGGCGUAAAGCGAGCGCAGGCGGUUUGAUAAGUCUGAAGUUAAAGGCUGUGGCUCAACCAUAGUUCGCUUUGGAAACUGUCAAACUUGAGUGCAGAAGGGGAGAGUGGAGUUCCAUGUGUAGCGGUGAAAUGCGUAGAUAUAUGGAGGAACACCGGUGGCGAAAGCGGCUCUCUGGUCUGUAACUGACGCUGAGGCUCGAAAGCGUGGGGAGCGAACAGGAUUAGAUACCCUGGUAGUCCAUGCCGUAAACGUUGGGCACUAGGUGUGGGGGACAUUCCACGUUUUCCGCGCCGUAGCUAACGCAUUAAGUGCCCCGCCUGGGGAGUACGGCCGCAAGGCUAAAACUCAAAGAAAUUGACGGGGGCCCGCACAAGCGGCGGAGCAUGCGGAUUAAUUCGAUGCAACGCGAAGAACCUUACCAAGGCUUGACAU